Molecule: ribosomal RNA, 466 nt
Filed under: uncultured bacterium
Lineage: Bacteria
Description: partial 16S ribosomal RNA
Rfam family: Bacterial small subunit ribosomal RNA
Source: RNAcentral
ACGAACGCUGGCGGCGUGCUUAACACAUGCAGUCGACCGGAAAGGCCCUGCUUUUGUGGGGUGCUCGAGUGGCGAACGGGUGAGUAACACGUGAGUAACCUGCCCUUGACUUUGGGAUAACUUCAGGAAACUGGGGCUAAUACCGGAUAGGAGCUCCUGCUGCAUGGUGGGGGUUGGAAAGUUUCGGCGGUUGGGGAUGGACUCGCGGCUUAUCAGCUUGUUGGUGGGGUAGUGGCUUACCAAGGCUUUGACGGGUAGCCGGCCUGAGAGGGUGACCGGCCUCAUUGGGACUGAGAUACGGCCCAGACUCCUACGGGAGGCAGCAGUGGGGAAUAUUGCACAAUGGGCGGAAGCCUGAUGCAGCAACGCCGCGUGCGGGAUGACGGCCUUCGGGUUGUAAACCGCUUUCGCCUGUGACGAAGCGUGAGUGACGGUAAUGGGUAAAGAAGCACCGGCUAACUACGUG